This 484-nucleotide ribosomal RNA is filed under the name uncultured bacterium. Its description in RNAcentral is "partial 16S ribosomal RNA". It matches the Rfam family "Bacterial small subunit ribosomal RNA", at positions 30 to 507 of the family's 1533-position model. The record is from RNAcentral.
ACUGAACGCUGGCGGCAUGCUUUACACAUGCAAGUCGAACGGCAGCGCGGGCUUCGGCCUGGCGGCGAGUGGCGAACGGGUGAGUAAUGCAUCGGAACGUGCCCAGUAGUGGGGGAUAGCCCGGCGAAAGCCGGAUUAAUACCGCAUACGACCUGAGGGUGAAAGCGGGGGACCGAAAGGCCUCGCGCUAUUGGAGCGGCCGAUGUCGGAUUAGCUAGUUGGUGGGGUAAAGGCUUACCAAGGCGACGAUCCGUAGCUGGUCUGAGAGGACGACCAGCCACACUGGGACUGAGACACGGCCCAGACUCCUACGGGAGGCAGCAGUGGGGAAUUUUGGACAAUGGGGGCAACCCUGAUCCAGCCAUGCCGCGUGCGGGAAGAAGGCCUUCGGGUUGUAAACCGCUUUUGUUCGGGAAGAAAUCCUCUGGGCUAAUACCCCGGGGGGAUGACGGUACCGGAAGAAUAAGCACCGGCUAACUACGUG